RNAcentral lists this ribosomal RNA (499 nucleotides) under uncultured bacterium. RNAcentral's name for it is "partial 16S ribosomal RNA". It matches the Rfam family "Bacterial small subunit ribosomal RNA", at positions 28 to 507 of the family's 1533-position model. The record is from RNAcentral.
GACGAACGCUGGCGGCGUGCCUAAUACAUGCAAGUCGAGCGGACCAAACAGGAGCUUGCUCUUGUUUGGUUAGCGGCGGACGGGUGAGUAACACGUGGGUAACCUGCCCGUAAGACCGGGAUAACUCCGGGAAACCGGAGCUAAUACCGGAUAACACCGAAGACCGCAUGGUCUUUGGUUGAAAGGCGGCUUCGGCUGCCCCUUACGGAUGGGCCCGCGGCGCAUUAGCUAGUUGGUGAGGUAACGGCUCACCAAGGCGACGAUGCGUAGCCGGCCUGAGAGGGUGACCGGCCAAACUGGGACGGAGACACGGCCCAGACUCCUACGGGAGGCAGCAGUAGGGAAUCUUCCGCAAUGGACGAAAGUCUGACGGAGCGACGCCGCGUGAGCGAAGAAGGUCGUCGGAUCGUAAAGCUCGGUUGUUAGGGAAGAAGAAGCGCCGUUCGAACAGGGCGGCGCGGUGACGGUACCUAACGAGAAAGCCCCGGCUAACUACGUG